Molecule: ribosomal RNA, 253 nt
Filed under: uncultured prokaryote
Description: partial 16S ribosomal RNA
Rfam family: Bacterial small subunit ribosomal RNA
Source: RNAcentral
UACAGAGGGUGCGAGCGUUAUUCGGAAUCACUGGGCAUAAAGGGCGCGUAGGCGGCUCCAAAAGUCAGGGGUGAAAUCCGGCAGCUUAACUGUCGCAGUGCCUUUGAUACUGUGGAGCUAGAGGGAGGUAGGGGUCUGUGGAACUUCCGGUGGAGCGGUGAAAUGCGUUGAUAUCGGAAGGAACGCCGGUGGCGAAAGCGACGGACUGGAUCUCUUCUGACGCUGAGGCGCGAAAGCCAGGGGAGCAAACGGG